RNA transcript from Pangasianodon hypophthalmus (striped catfish), 1497 nucleotides. It is a transcript of the gene named RAB, member of RAS oncogene family-like 3, with no coding region annotated. The transcript has 8 exons. NCBI's taxonomy places the organism in Eukaryota, Metazoa, Chordata, Actinopteri, Siluriformes, Pangasiidae. The record is from RefSeq and is a predicted model, not a curated record.
GGGAGUGAGUAGCUAUUUGAUAUCCUGCCAAAUACUUCUCGUGCUGCCGUAGCUUACUUUGAACGAAUUCGUCAGUUUAUUAGACUUUUAUUUUGUCCAGUUGUUCGGACAGGAAGCACUUUUUGCAUCCUCAACCUAGCUAGUGAUAGAGGAAACAAAAAUGUCCUCGCUUGACAGAGUAAAAGUAUUAGUCUUGGGAGAUUCAGGUGUUGGAAAGUCGUCUUUAGUUCAUCUGCUGUGCCAUAACCAGGUUUUGGGAAAUCCUUCAUGGACAGUUGGUUGUUCUGUGGACGUCAGGGUCCAUGACUACAAAGAAGGCACGCCAGAAGAGAAGACCUACUACAUUGAACUGUGGGAUGUUGGAGGCUCUGUGGGAAGCGCCAGUAGUGUUAAAAGCACCAGAGCAGUUUUUUACAAUUCAGUUAAUGGCAUUAUUCUAGUUCAUGAUCUGACCAACAAAAAAUCCUCUCAGAAUCUGUAUCGCUGGUCAAUGGAGGCAUUAAACAAAGAUUCCUCUCCUACAGGGGUCAUCGUGUCGAAUGGGGAUUAUGACAGAGAGCAGUUUGCAGACAACACCAUCCCUCUCCUGCUAAUAGGCACCAAGUACGAUCAGAUCCCUGAAAACAAGAGGAAUGAUGUCCUGACUCGCACCGCCUUCCUAUCUGAAGACUUCAACGCAGAGGAGAUCAACCUGGUCGGUGAUUCUUACAGUUUACGACUGACUGCACAAAUCCACGCUACUUUGCUGCUGGCUCAUCUAAUGCUGUAAAACUGAGCAGAUUUUUUGACAAGGUUAUAGAGAAGAGAUACUUCAGCAGAGAUCCGAGUCAGAUGACAGGCUUCACAGACAGGAAGCGCUUCAACUUCAAGAGCCUUCACUAUGACUGAGUGUGUGAAAACACCACAAAGGCUUGUGGUUUUAGUCCUGUAUCAUUUAUCAAACUACUAUAGCUGUGUGCAUGUUGUACACUCUUGCAGGUGGGCCCUGGGAACAUUUGCGAAGUAACACCACUAAACUGACCACUAAAAGACGUUUUGCAUUUCUUUUAGUGUGAGAUUGUCAGAGAAAAUUAUAGAAUAAGACUCAAUUAAGGUGUGUUUACAUAUUUUACACAUCCACCCAUUUUAUACAUCUUCUUCCCAGUUAAUCAUUUGCAUGUGUAAAAUGUGAAAAGGUAUAAAACAUCUAGAUGAAGACAAGGAGCCUGUAUUUUUUUAAAUUUUUUUUUUGUUAAAGCUUAAUUCGUAAACACCCAGGUACUUGUUCUGUAUUUACUUUUCAUGGGCCACAUAAUACACUUGCUCAAACAAAAUACUUUCUCUGUAUCUGCUACCUAAUGGUAAACAAUGAUUUAUCCUUAAUGAAAAAGAUUUUUUUUAUUAUUACUGAUCUUUUUAAUUUAUGCAGUUUUAUAAAUUUGCAUAUUUGCUAUAUUAGCAAACUUGUGUAUAUAAUGUUUACAUGAGUUAGAUGAAUAAAAAACUUUUCUCACACGA